GUUAAGCGACUAAGCGUACACGGUGGAUGCCCUGGCAGUCAGAGGCGAUGAAGGACGUGCUAAUCUGCGAUAAGCGUCGGUGAGGUGAUAUGAACCGUUAUAACCGGCGAUUUCCGAAUGGGGAAACCCAGUGUGUUUCGACACACUAUCAUUAACUGAAUCCAUAGGUUAAUGAGGCGAACCGGGGGAACUGAAACAUCUAAGUACCCCGAGGAAAAGAAAUCAACCGAGAUUCCCCCAGUAGCGGCGAGCGAACGGGGAGGAGCCCAGAGCCUGAAUCAGUGUGUGUGUUAGUGGAAGCGUCUGGAAAGGCGCGCGAUACAGGGUGACAGCCCCGUACACAAAAAUGCACAUAUUGUGAGCUCGAUGAGUAGGGCGGGACACGUGGUAUCCUGUCUGAAUAUGGGGGGACCAUCCUCCAAGGCUAAAUACUCCUGACUGACCGAUAGUGAACCAGUACCGUGAGGGAAAGGCGAAAAGAACCCCGGCGAGGGGAGUGAAAAAGAACCUGAAACCGUGUACGUACAAGCAGUGGGAGCCUCUUUAUGGGGUGACUGCGUACCUUUUGUAUAAUGGGUCAGCGACUUAUAUUCUGUAGCAAGGUUAACCGAAUAGGGGAGCCGAAGGGAAACCGAGUCUUAACUGGGCGUUAAGUUGCAGGGUAUAGACCCGAAACCCGGUGAUCUAGCCAUGGGCAGGUUGAAGGUUGGGUAACACUAACUGGAGGACCGAACCGACUAAUGUUGAAAAAUUAGCGGAUGACUUGUGGCUGGGGGUGAAAGGCCAAUCAAACCGGGAGAUAGCUGGUUCUCCCCGAAAGCUAUUUAGGUAGCGCCUCGUGAAUUCAUCUCCGGGGGUAGA
RNAcentral lists this ribosomal RNA (861 nucleotides) under Escherichia coli. Its description in RNAcentral is "partial 23S ribosomal RNA". It matches the Rfam family "Bacterial large subunit ribosomal RNA", at positions 1 to 906 of the family's 2925-position model. The record is from RNAcentral. Lineage: Bacteria; Pseudomonadati; Pseudomonadota; Gammaproteobacteria; Enterobacterales; Enterobacteriaceae.